UGGGGAAUAUUGGACAAUGGGCGAAAGCCUGAUCCAGCCAUGCCGCGUGUGUGAAGAAGGUCUUCGGAUUGUAAAGCACUUUAAGUUGGGAGGAAGGGCAGUAAGCGAAUACCUUGCUGUUUUGACGUUACCGACAGAAUAAGCACCGGCUAACUCUGUGCCAGCAGCCGCGGUAAUACAGAGGGUGCAAGCGUUAAUCGGAAUUACUGGGCGUAAAGCGCGCAUAGGUGGUUCGUUAAGUUGAAUGUGAAAGCCCCGGGCUCAACCUGGGAACUGCAUCCAAAACUGGCGAGCUAGAGUAGGGCAGAGGGUGGUGGAAUUUCCUGUGUAGCGGUGAAAUGCGUAGAUAUAGGAAGGAACACCAGUGGCGAAGGCGACCACCUGGGCUCAUACUGACACUGAGGUGCGAAAGCGUGGGGAGCAAACAGG
RNAcentral lists this ribosomal RNA (429 nucleotides) under Pseudomonadota bacterium. Its description in RNAcentral is "Proteobacteria bacterium partial 16S ribosomal RNA". It matches the Rfam family "Bacterial small subunit ribosomal RNA", at positions 355 to 776 of the family's 1533-position model. Lineage: Bacteria; Pseudomonadati; Pseudomonadota. The record is from RNAcentral.